This 143-nucleotide ribosomal RNA is filed under the name Salmonella enterica subsp. enterica serovar Muenchen. RNAcentral's name for it is "partial 23S ribosomal RNA". It matches the Rfam family "Bacterial large subunit ribosomal RNA", at positions 1 to 133 of the family's 2925-position model. RNAcentral also lists the same sequence under 16 other names. Lineage: Bacteria; Pseudomonadati; Pseudomonadota; Gammaproteobacteria; Enterobacterales; Enterobacteriaceae. The record is from RNAcentral.
GGGUUGUGAGGUUAAGCGACUAAGCGUACACGGUGGAUGCCCUGGCAGUCAGAGGCGAUGAAGGACGUGCUAAUCUGCGAUAAGCGCCGGUAAGGUGAUAUGAACCGUUAUAACCGGCGAUUUCCGAAUGGGGAAACCCAGUG